RNAcentral lists this ribosomal RNA (254 nucleotides) under uncultured bacterium. RNAcentral's name for it is "partial 16S ribosomal RNA". It matches the Rfam family "Bacterial small subunit ribosomal RNA", at positions 524 to 776 of the family's 1533-position model. The record is from RNAcentral.
UACGUAGGGUGCGAGCGUUGUCCGGAAUUAUUGGGCGUAAAGAGCUCGUAGGCGGUGUGUCGCGUCGGCCGUGAAAACCUGCAGCUUAACUGUGGGCUUGCGGUCGAUCCGGGCAUCACUGGAGUUCGGCAGGGGAGACUGGAAUUCCUGGUGUAGCGGUGAAAUGCGCAGAUAUCAGGAGGAACACCGGUGGCGAAGGCGGGUCUCUGGGCCGAUACUGACGCUGAGGAGCGAAAGCGUGGGGAGCGAACAGG